Molecule: long non-coding RNA, 630 nt
Filed under: Nicotiana benthamiana
Lineage: Eukaryota; Viridiplantae; Streptophyta; Magnoliopsida; Solanales; Solanaceae
Description: long non-coding RNA (NBEN_LNC004131)
Source: RNAcentral
CCCAGCUUGAGCAAUAUAGAAUGAUGCAGAAGGCAUGUCAGAGGCUUAGUAAAAACAUCUGCGAGCUGAGAUGCAGUAGGAACAUGAUGCAAGGCAAUAAGGCCCUCAUGAAGCUUGGUUCUGAUGAAGUUGCAUUUGCAAAGAAGCUUAGUAAAAACAUCUGCGAGCUGAGAUGCAGUAGGAACAUGAUGCAAGGCAAUAAGGCCCUCAUGAAGCUUGGUUCUGAUGAAGUGGCAAUCCACUUCAAUGCGUUUGUACGCUCAUGAAACACAGGAUUCUUGGCUAUGUGAAGUGCUGCCUGAUUAUCACAAAAAAAAAGGCACAGCAGUGGUAACAAGAACACUAAAAUCAGACAGAAGUCGAACAAGCCAGGUGAGCUCAUCAACAACUUUACUCCUGGCCCUGUACUUAGCCUCAGCAGAAGACAGGGACACCACAGGCUGCAUCUUAGCCUUCCAACCAAUAAGAGAGCCACCCAAUAGAAUGCAAAAGCCAGAAACAGAUCUCCUAGUGUCCGGGCAGGAAGCCCAGUCACUAUCACAAUAGGCAGACAAGGAGAGAUCAGGGGUGUUGCUGAUGAAGACCCCAACUUCAAAAGUUCCUCUAAGAUAUCUGAGUGUAUGCAAAGCU